AAUUGUGGUUUUUGCCAUGGAAAAUAAUGGUAAAAACUGCAAUUACUUUUAUAUCAAUCUAAUAUAUG
Molecule: microRNA precursor, 68 nt
Filed under: Chlorocebus sabaeus (green monkey)
Lineage: Eukaryota; Metazoa; Chordata; Mammalia; Primates; Cercopithecidae
Description: miRNA (ENSCSAG00000022129.1)
Source: RNAcentral